RNAcentral lists this small nucleolar RNA (70 nucleotides) under Ictidomys tridecemlineatus (thirteen-lined ground squirrel). RNAcentral's name for it is "Small nucleolar RNA SNORD34 (ENSSTOG00000017555.1)". It matches the Rfam family "Small nucleolar RNA SNORD34". From Rfam's summary of the family: snoRNA U34 is found in intron 5 of the ribosomal protein L13a gene in humans. U34 is a member of the C/D class of snoRNA which contain C (UGAUGA) and D (CUGA) box motifs, and functions in directing site-specific 2'-O-methylation of 25S rRNAs. Lineage: Eukaryota; Metazoa; Chordata; Mammalia; Rodentia; Sciuridae. The record is from Rfam by way of RNAcentral.
AGCGUCCAUGAUGUUACGCAAUUACCUACAUUGUUUGAGCCUCAUGAAAACAUAACUGGCUGAGACGCCU